AAACCAACAUUUCUCCCCAUAUUUACUUACCAAUAAAUACCUCCUCUCUCUCGUUGCUUUCCACCCAAUUAAAUAAACAAAAAUGCAGGCCUCCCCCCUAAACCUCCGUACCAGCUCUGGCCUUCCUCUUUGUCUCUCAGGGUUCACAAGCUCCCUCACUCUCUCCCAAGAAAUAGCAGAUCAUGAUCUGAGAAGAGAAGCCAUGAAAAAGCAAAAGACACAAAGCAGAAGGGCUUCACUCACAGAUCUAGAGGCUCUUGUAAAUGGGCUCUCUUUUGUUUCUCUACAGCAGCAGCAGCAGCAACUGCUCCCUUGUCCUGCAAAAGCUGCUUAGUUUUACUUUUAGUUUCUGUAAUUCAAAUGGUCUAAGUUAUGGGCUUGUUGAUUCUCAAGCUGGAUCAGAUCUGUGUUUAUUUUGGAUCAUGCUUCUCAUUGAUUCUUGUUAUGUUAUGUUUUUUCUUUUCA
Daucus carota subsp. sativus is the source of this 465-nucleotide long non-coding RNA. RefSeq lists it as uncharacterized. The record is from RefSeq and is a predicted model, not a curated record. The transcript is spliced from 2 exons. NCBI's taxonomy places the organism in Eukaryota, Viridiplantae, Streptophyta, Magnoliopsida, Apiales, Apiaceae.